This 70-nucleotide transfer RNA is filed under the name Dipodomys ordii (Ord's kangaroo rat). It matches the Rfam family "tRNA". Rfam says of the family: Transfer RNA (tRNA) molecules are approximately 80 nucleotides in length. Their secondary structure includes four short double-helical elements and three loops (D, anti-codon, and T loops). Further hydrogen bonds mediate the characteristic L-shaped molecular structure. tRNAs have two regions of fundamental functional importance: the anti-codon, which is responsible for specific mRNA codon recognition, and the 3' end, to which the tRNAs corresponding amino acid is attached (by aminoacyl-tRNA synthetases). tRNAs cope with the degeneracy of the genetic code in two manners: having more than one tRNA (with a specific anti-codon) for a particular amino acid; and 'wobble' base-pairing, i.e. permitting non-standard base-pairing at the 3rd anti-codon position. Lineage: Eukaryota; Metazoa; Chordata; Mammalia; Rodentia; Heteromyidae. The record is from Rfam by way of RNAcentral.
GGGGAAGUGGCUCAGUGGUAGAGUACUUGCCUUGCAUGCAUGAGGCCCUGGGUUCGAUUCCUCAGCACCA